This 68-nucleotide transfer RNA is filed under the name Celenna sp. MT-2014. Its description in RNAcentral is "tRNA-Phe". Lineage: Eukaryota; Metazoa; Arthropoda; Insecta; Lepidoptera; Geometridae. The record is from RNAcentral.
AUUUAAAUAGCUUAUAAGUUAGAGCGUAAUAUUGAAGAUAUUAAAGAGAUAAUUUUUAUCUUUAAAUA